RNAcentral lists this small RNA (161 nucleotides) under Chrysemys picta bellii (western painted turtle). Its description in RNAcentral is "TUC338 (ENSCPBG00000027055.1)". Lineage: Eukaryota; Metazoa; Chordata; Testudines; Emydidae. The record is from RNAcentral.
UUAACAGUCCUUGUGAGGUAAGUUCUCUAGUUAUCUGCAGCACCGGCAACAGCAGUGCAUGCUUCCCCACAAUGUCCUACCUAAUGUGCCUUCAGCCUGAGCUAGGGGGAACAUCUCUGGGGAGAAAGGGUAAUUUAAUCACUAUCUAUUCAAAUCCUUGA